This 164-nucleotide ribosomal RNA is filed under the name Sipanea galioides. RNAcentral's name for it is "5.8S ribosomal RNA". It matches the Rfam family "5.8S ribosomal RNA". Rfam says of the family: 5.8S ribosomal RNA (5.8S rRNA) is a component of the large subunit of the eukaryotic ribosome. It is transcribed by RNA polymerase I as part of the 45S precursor that also contains 18S and 28S rRNA. The record is from RNAcentral. Lineage: Eukaryota; Viridiplantae; Streptophyta; Magnoliopsida; Gentianales; Rubiaceae.
AAAACGACUUUUGGCAACGGAUAUUUAGGCUUUUGCAUCGAUGAAGGACGUAGCGAAAUGCGAUACUUGGUGUGAAUUGCAGAAUCCCGUGAAUCAUCGAGUUUUUGAACCCAAGUUGCGCCCCAAGCCAUUAGGCUGAGGGCACGUUUGCCUGGGCGUCACGC